AACAGGAAUUUUAAGAGUAAAUUAAUUUUGCUACAAGGUGUUAUUAAGACCAGGUGAGGAUGGCCUUGAAUCACAAUGGCUCCUCUCCGCCAGCAAGAGCACCAUGGCUCCCAGGGGCUUGCCAGAGCUUCUCCCAGAAGGAAACACCCCAGAUUUACGAUCAUCCCUAACAAUUCUCACAGGAAAGGACGAAGAAAGGCAAGUGUGAAAUGAGGCAUGUCCAGUCCUCCAGAACUCUCAAGUUAGGACUUUCUGCCAUGGGCGCCUNCUCCGCCGCGUUGGUGGCCACACUCA
RNAcentral lists this long non-coding RNA (294 nucleotides) under Vulpes vulpes (red fox). RNAcentral describes it as "lncRNA (ENSVVUG00000007676.1)". The record is from RNAcentral. Lineage: Eukaryota; Metazoa; Chordata; Mammalia; Carnivora; Canidae.